RNAcentral lists this unclassified non-coding RNA (111 nucleotides) under uncultured fungus. Its description in RNAcentral is "sequence contains ITS1". Lineage: Eukaryota; Fungi. The record is from RNAcentral.
ACAUUAAACAUCCUGUAAAAAAUAUUUACAUAGUGGCGCCCAACACCGAGGCGAUAAGGCAGUGUGCCAAAGAGAAUGGCUGUACAUUUAUUGAUGAACAAAGCGUUUGCA